AGCUUGCUCUUCGAUUCAGCGGCGGACGGGUGAGUAAUGCCUAGGAAUCUGCCUGGUAGUGGGGGACAACGUUUCGAAAGGAACGCUAAUACCGCAUACGUCCUACGGGAGAAAGCAGGGGACCUUCGGGCCUUGCGCUAUCAGAUGAGCCUAGGUCGGAUUAGCUAGUUGGUGAGGUAAUGGCUCACCAAGGCGACGAUCCGUAACUGGUCUGAGAGGAUGAUCAGUCACACUGGAACUGAGACACGGUCCAGACUCCUACGGGAGGCAGCAGUGGGGAAUAUUGGACAAUGGGCGAAAGCCUGAUCCAGCCAUGCCGCGUGUGUGAAGAAGGUCUUCGGAUUGUAAAGCACUUUAAGUUGGGAGGAAGGGUACUUACCUAAUACGUGAGUAUUUUGACGUUACCGACAGAAUAAGCACCGGCUAACUCU
Molecule: ribosomal RNA, 431 nt
Filed under: Pseudomonas putida
Lineage: Bacteria; Pseudomonadati; Pseudomonadota; Gammaproteobacteria; Pseudomonadales; Pseudomonadaceae
Description: bacterial SSU rRNA
Rfam family: Bacterial small subunit ribosomal RNA
Source: RNAcentral